UUAAGCAUAUCAAUAAGCGGAGGAAAAGAAACUAACAAGGAUUCCCCUAGUAACGGCGAGUGAAGCGGGAAGAGCUCAAAUUUGAAAUCUGGCAGUCUUCGAUUGUCCGAGUUGUAAUCUAUAGAGGCGUUUUCCGUGCCGGACCGUGUCCAAGUCUCCUGGAAAGGAGUAUCAAAGAGGGUGAUAAUCCCGUACUUAACACGAUAACCGGUGCUCUGUGAUACGUCUUCUACGAGUCGAGUUGUUUGGGAAUGCAGCUCAAAAUGGGUGGUGAAUUCCAUCUAAAGCUAAAUAUUGGCGAGAGACCGAUAGCGAACAAGUACCGUGAGGGAAAGAUGAAAAGCACUUUGGAAAGAGAGUUAAACAGUACGUGAAAUUGUUGAAAGGGAAACGAUUGAAGUCAGUCGUGUUCUUUGGAUUCAGCCAGUUCUGCUGGUCUACUUCCUUAGAACGGGUCAACAUCAGUUUUGUCCGGUGGAUAAAGGUAGUAGGAAUGUAGCUUCUUUGAAGUGUUAUAGCCUAUUGCCACAUACACUGGGUGAGACUGAGGACUGCAGCUCGCCUUUAUGGCCGGUCUUCGGACACGUUCGAGCUUAGGAUGUUGACAUAAUGGCUUUAAACGACCCG
This 627-nucleotide ribosomal RNA is filed under the name Trichosporon aquatile. RNAcentral's name for it is "LSU rRNA". It matches the Rfam family "Eukaryotic large subunit ribosomal RNA", at positions 34 to 651 of the family's 3401-position model. Lineage: Eukaryota; Fungi; Basidiomycota; Tremellomycetes; Trichosporonales; Trichosporonaceae. The record is from RNAcentral.